AGAAUGCGCGCACUUUCGGGUGACCGUCCGGCAUUGCUGGCCGGUUGAAACGGGAAGCCGGUGCCGCGCACUGCUGGGUCUCCAGCAUGUCGCCAUUCCGGCGCUGCCCCCGCAACGGUAAGCAGGACAAGUCCAGACAUGGCGCCACUGUGCACGGCACGGGAAGGCGUCUGGACGGAAGCAGCCAGGCUGCUUCGCCUGCGAGUCCGGAGACCGGCCCGAAAGCCGACUGGUUG
This 236-nucleotide non-coding RNA is filed under the name Stenotrophomonas terrae. Lineage: Bacteria; Pseudomonadati; Pseudomonadota; Gammaproteobacteria; Lysobacterales; Lysobacteraceae. The record is from RNAcentral.